UUGCCCUAGUAACGGCGAGUGAAGCGGCAACAGCUCAAAUUUGAAAUCUGGCGUCUUUGGCGUCCGAGUUGUAAUUUGCAGAGGGCGCUUUGGCAUUGGCAGCGGUCCAAGUUCCUUGGAACAGGACGUCACAGAGGGUGAGAAUCCCGUACGUGGUCGCUAGCCUUUACCGUGUAAAGCCCCUUCGACGAGUCGAGUUGUUUGGGAAUGCAGCUCUAAAUGGGAGGUAAAUUUCUUCUAAAGCUAAAUACUGGCCAGAGACCGAUAGCGCACAAGUAGAGUGAUCGAAAGAUGAAAAGCACUUUGGAAAGAGAGUUAAAAAGCACGUGAAAUUGUUGAAAGGGAAGCGCUUGCAGCCAGACUUGCCUGUAGUUGCUCAUCCGGGUUUUUACCCGGUGCACUCUUCUAUAGGCAGGCCAGCAUCAGUUUGGGCGGUUGGAUAAAGGUCUCUGUCAUGUACCUCUCUUCGGGGAGAACUUAUAGGGGAGACGACAUGCAACCAGCCUGGACUGAGGUCCGCGCAUCUGCUAGGAUGCUGGCGUAAUGGCUGUAAGCGGCCCGUCUUGAAACACGGACCAAGGAGUCUAACAUCUAUGCGAGUGUUUGGGUGUCAAGCCCGAGCGCGUAAUGAAAGUGAACGGAGGUGGGAACCUUUCGGGGUGCACCAUCGACCGAUCCUGAUGUCUUCGGGAU
RNAcentral lists this ribosomal RNA (693 nucleotides) under Ascochyta sp. Its description in RNAcentral is "eukaryotic LSU rRNA". It matches the Rfam family "Eukaryotic large subunit ribosomal RNA", at positions 75 to 786 of the family's 3401-position model. The record is from RNAcentral. Lineage: Eukaryota; Fungi; Ascomycota; Dothideomycetes; Pleosporales; Didymellaceae. RNAcentral also lists the same sequence under 1 other name.